AACUAAUUAGUAUAAAAUUAUACAUUUGUUUUGAAAACAAAAAAAGGGUUUCCAUUAGUUU
RNAcentral lists this transfer RNA (61 nucleotides) under Platorchestia sp. AKP-2018. RNAcentral's name for it is "tRNA-Ser". The record is from RNAcentral. Lineage: Eukaryota; Metazoa; Arthropoda; Malacostraca; Amphipoda; Talitridae.